GGGGAUAUUGCACAAUGGGGGAAACCCUGAUGCAGCGACGCCGCGUGAGUGAAGAAGUAUUUCGGUAUGUAAAGCUCUAUCAGCAGGGAAGAUAAUGACGGUACCUGACUAAGAAGCCCCGGCUAACUAC
Molecule: ribosomal RNA, 130 nt
Filed under: uncultured bacterium
Lineage: Bacteria
Description: partial 16S ribosomal RNA
Rfam family: Bacterial small subunit ribosomal RNA
Source: RNAcentral